GCACAGCAGACUUCUUAGCUCCUGAUGUCCAGGAAGCAGAGCAGGACAGCCGGCUCAGACAGGACGAAGCGAUGGACCAGACACAGUUCCCCAGCUCCCCGUCCCACCCAGACAUACCCAGAAGUCUGGUUCACUAAUCUUCUGGGCAGCUUCCAAGCCAGUUGGGUUAACACAGUCAAACUUCACCAUUACAGAAUGCUCAGCUGCUUGGAUUUGAAAACGAGCGCUUGUGAAAGAAGUAUGAGGAAAUACACGUAGCUUGUCUAUCACGACGGUUUCCAGAGCCUCUGACAACAUUCUGGGCUAUUUCUCAUCCAAGAGAGGCAGUUAGCUGGAAAUCUUUGGACAGACAGCAUCAGGAAUGAGACAUGAGCAAGUGAAACGUU
Long non-coding RNA from Chinchilla lanigera (long-tailed chinchilla), 386 nucleotides. RefSeq lists it as uncharacterized. The transcript is spliced from 3 exons. NCBI's taxonomy places the organism in Eukaryota, Metazoa, Chordata, Mammalia, Rodentia, Chinchillidae. The record is from RefSeq and is a predicted model, not a curated record.